UACGUAGGGGGCGAGCGUUGUCCGGAAUCACUGGGCGUAAAGGGUGAGUAGGCGGUAACGUGUGUCAGAUGUUUAAUCUAUGGGCUCAACCCAUAUCAGCAUUUGAAACUGCGUAACUUGAGUGCAGGAGAGGCAAGUGGAAUUCCUAGUGUAGCGGUGAAAUGCGUAGAUAUUAGGAGGAACACCAGUGGCGAAGGCGACUUGCUGGACUGUAACUGACGCUGAGUCACGAAAGCGUGGGGAGCAAACA
This 250-nucleotide ribosomal RNA is filed under the name uncultured bacterium. RNAcentral describes it as "partial 16S ribosomal RNA". It matches the Rfam family "Bacterial small subunit ribosomal RNA", at positions 524 to 774 of the family's 1533-position model. The record is from RNAcentral.